Molecule: ribosomal RNA, 471 nt
Filed under: Triticum aestivum (bread wheat)
Lineage: Eukaryota; Viridiplantae; Streptophyta; Magnoliopsida; Poales; Poaceae
Description: partial small subunit ribosomal RNA
Source: RNAcentral
AUGCCGCGCAGUGUUGCUGACGCUGCAGAAUUCUUCCGAGCCGAAGAGGGGAGCUCAACGGAGAAGCUAUUCUGGUCGCAAUACCUUGCACCAGAGCACCCAGUGCCCUUUAGCGAUAAGCUAAAACAGCUGACCGGACUGCAUAGGGUGGCCGAACUGGCCAUGAAGGAUUUGAUAAUCCGUUUAUGGCCUGCCGAAGCCAUACCCAGCAGCUACUUCAGGCUCGUGAAGUGGCUGGUCAAUGCCUACCCUCGGCUUGAUGCCAUUAAGCGGUCGGUCUGCAUCAAAGGUGCGCGGAUGGCCUUCGCCCGUGUCAAGGUGCAGUGGGCGAAGAUGGAUGCCGUCAAGCACGCGACCGAGGGACCGCCCGCGGGCAAGGAGCACCGCAUGCCCGAGUGGUAUUUUGAUGAUGUCCUGAAGGGAUCCCACAUUGUAGAGGGCCAGUGUUCAAAAGACAUUAUCUUUGAAUGA